GCCCCGGUGGCGCAAUGGUAGCGCGUUGGACUUCUAAUCCAAAGGCUGCGGGUUCGAGCCCCGCCCGGGGUG
This 72-nucleotide transfer RNA is filed under the name Curvularia lunata CX-3. Its description in RNAcentral is "tRNA-Arg (TCT) (tRNA-Arg-TCT-1-1)". It matches the Rfam family "tRNA". From Rfam's summary of the family: Transfer RNA (tRNA) molecules are approximately 80 nucleotides in length. Their secondary structure includes four short double-helical elements and three loops (D, anti-codon, and T loops). Lineage: Eukaryota; Fungi; Ascomycota; Dothideomycetes; Pleosporales; Pleosporaceae. The record is from RNAcentral.